Molecule: ribosomal RNA, 165 nt
Filed under: Camellia sinensis
Lineage: Eukaryota; Viridiplantae; Streptophyta; Magnoliopsida; Ericales; Theaceae
Description: 5.8S ribosomal RNA
Rfam family: 5.8S ribosomal RNA
About the family: 5.8S ribosomal RNA (5.8S rRNA) is a component of the large subunit of the eukaryotic ribosome.
Source: RNAcentral
UAAACGUCUGUAGGCAACGGAUAUCUUGUCUCUUGCAUCGAUGAAGAAGGUAAAGAAAAGCGAUAGUUGGUGUGAAAGGCAGAAUCCCGCCAACCAUUGAGUCUUUGCAAGCAAGUUGCGCCCGCAGCCAGUAGGGGGCGGGCCCGCCUGGGUGGGCCUCGCAGG